Molecule: small RNA, 613 nt
Filed under: Histoplasma capsulatum
Lineage: Eukaryota; Fungi; Ascomycota; Eurotiomycetes; Onygenales; Ajellomycetaceae
Description: hypothetical RNA
Source: RNAcentral
AUACUUUCAGUUUUUACCCUUGAGUAAGUGAUACAACCUCCUUUUAUCCUAUGAUAUCUAUAAUAUCUAUAUCCAAUCUUUGCAAGGCCGAGAUCAACUCAAAGCUCGAUUGGGAACGAGUCCCCCGCGACGUUUCGCUUUUUUUUUUUUUUUCGAUAUUCGGCCAUAAGACAAUUCGUGAUUCCAUCAAGCUCAAAGCCAGACUACACCUGGCAACGGCGGAUGCAAUCCGCAAUCCGCAAUCCGGCAGACCACCCCUCAAGUGCAAGUUGUCCCCAGUAGAUACGCGGGGGUAUUCUAGAGUUUCAUUCACACGCUCCUUUAUUACCUUUCUCAAUGUACUCCUCUUGGUUCAGCAUUCCACUUGAUGCAAAUAUUAGUCAAUUGCUAUUUGGCGUUGUUAUGAAAUGGGCGGACAGGACAGCCUUCUCCCGUUCAUUUUUUAAAUCCGAUACCGAAUACCAAGAGACUCUUUUGCGUGUAAAAGGAUUACAGAAUUAGAAAUAUGGAAUUAUGUCAACAAUGUGCAUUCAUCCAUCACUAGUUUCAAAGGCACAGAGUUGACAGUCCAAAAGUAGUUUAACUUGUAGUAAUUAGUUGUAGUUAUAGUGUC